AGUGGGGUCUCGACUUACGAACAGCCCGAGUUACGUACUUUUUGACUUACGGACCGCUCUGAAAGGAAAAUAUUUCCUCAACAUACGAACUUUACUUCGAGUUACGGAAGGGGCUAAUGAGGCUAGAAGCAGCGGAAAAGCUCGACCUUCCUUUUGCUUUCUGUUCCCAGCGGGUUGUGUGGAACGCGAAGGAGGAGGAAAAGAAGCAGCGCAGGGAGGGAAGGAGGAGGAGGCCAGGCGCCGCUGUCUAGAUGUGGCCUGGGAGGGGUGCACCCCUUUCCUGUGCUUCACUCGCCCCCUCCCCCUAGAAGCAGAGCCCGGGAGGCGAGUGGUCACCACUUACACCCCUGCUCGUCCAGCUGUCGCUUCUCCAUGCUUGGGCAGGCCCUACCCGCACAGCCACACCCCACCCCUGCUGUCUGCUCUCUCCCCUCACCUGCUCCUGCAGUGGCAGUGGGGCAGAGGCCCUCCCAGGGGGCUCCUCUCCCUCCGCUCCCACGUGCUUUGCCUCUCUGCUGGUCUUCUUCCCCAGACUGGCUCCCCUCCCCCCGCUCCAACAAGCUUUGCCUUUCUGCUCCCGGCAAGGAAUCUGGCCGCCGCCAUUGCAGGGAGCCCCUUUCACUCCAUGGCCACCCAUGCCUUGCCUGACUUUCCUCCCCUCCCCUGCCGUCUCUUCUCUCUCCCCUCACCUGCACCCGGCAAGGAAUCUGGCCGCUGCCACCACCGAGUGCUGGAGCAAAGUCCCUGCGGCAGCCAGAUCCAAACUGAGGCAAGAGACCAGCUCAAAGGUAAGAGAGACUGGCACGGGGGAGUGAGACGGAAGGACCGAGACUGGGAGGACUUUUCUAGGCAGAGAGAAAUGUGGUGUUUGUUCUGGAAGGCAGGCAUUUUUGUGCUGGAGGAAUGGUUGCUGAAUUCUGUGCCUUGCUGUGUGUGUGUGUGUGGGGGGGGAUUAAGGCUUGGUUUGUUUGAAAAAGUGCUUUGCAAACUGUUCUGUUGUCUGAAAGGUGCUUGAUUUAAAAGGUGUUCCCUCCCUCCUUUGCUUGCCCCUUUUUUCCCAAAAGAUGCUUGGUUUGGAUGAAAAGGUUGGCUGAAUAGUGCUUUGCAAACUGUUCUGUUGUCUGAAAGGUGCUUGAUUUAAAAGGUGUUCCCUCCCUCCUUUGCUGCUGCUUUUUUCCCCAAAAGUGCUUGGCUUGGCUUGGUUUGGCUGAAAAGGCUGGCUGAAAGGUGCUUUGCAAACUGUUCCCUGCCUCCCCCCUCCUUUCCUGAACUUUUCUUGACCUCAGGGGGGGAAAAAAAGAAAAAAAUAUCCCCCUCUAGUGGUAGAAGGCGGAAUAGCAGCUUCCCAUUAGUUUCUAUGGACAGAAAAGAGCAGAUACGGAUUAAAUGGUUUCAAUGCAUUCCUAGGGGAAAUGCAGAUUCGACCUACGAACUUUUCGACCUGCAGACCGCCUUCCAAUACGGAUUAAUUACUUAAGUCGAGACCCCAUUGUAUGGCUUNNNNNNNNNNNNNNNNNNNNNNNNNNNNNNNN
Molecule: long non-coding RNA, 1532 nt
Filed under: Pogona vitticeps (central bearded dragon)
Lineage: Eukaryota; Metazoa; Chordata; Lepidosauria; Squamata; Agamidae
Description: lncRNA (ENSPVIG00000024782.1)
Source: RNAcentral